This 438-nucleotide ribosomal RNA is filed under the name uncultured bacterium. RNAcentral describes it as "bacterial SSU rRNA". It matches the Rfam family "Bacterial small subunit ribosomal RNA", at positions 30 to 468 of the family's 1533-position model. The record is from RNAcentral.
AUUGAACGCUGGCGGCAGGCCUAACACAUGCAAGUCGAGCGGUAGAGAGGUGCUUGCAUCUCUUGAGAGCGGCGGACGGGUGAGUAAUGCCUAGGAAUCUGCCUAGUGGUGGGGGAUAACGUUCGGAAACGGACGCUAAUACCGCAUACGUCCUACGGGAGAAAGCGGGGGAUCUUCGGACCUCGCGCCAUUAGAUGAGCCUAGGUCGGAUUAGCUAGUUGGUGAGGUAAUGGCUCACCAAGGCGACGAUCCGUAACUGGUCUGAGAGGAUGAUCAGUCACACUGGAACUGAGACACGGUCCAGACUCCUACGGGAGGCAGCAGUGGGGAAUAUUGGACAAUGGGCGAAAGACUUGAUCCAGCCAUGCCGCGUGUGUGAAGAAGGUCUUCGGAUUGUAAAGCACUUAAGUUUGGGAGGAAGGGUAGUAACCUAAUACG